GAUGAACGCUGGCGGCGUGCCUAAUACAUGCAAGUCGAGCGAACAGACAAGGAGCUUGCUCCUCUGACGUUAGCGGCGGACGGGUGAGUAACACGUGGAUAACCUACCUAUAAGACUGGCAUAACUUCGGGAAACCGGAGCUAAUACCGGAUAAUAUAUUGAACCGCAUGGUUCAAUAGUGAAAGACGGUUUUGCUGUCACUUAUAGAUGGAUCCGCGCCGCAUUAGCUAGUUGGUAAGGUAACGGCUUACCAAGGCAACGAUGCGUAGCCGACCUGAGAGGGUGAUCGGCCACACUGGAACUGAGACACGGUCCAGACUCCUACGGGAGGCAGCAGUAGGGAAUCUUCCGCAAUGGGCGAAAGCCUGACGGAGCAACGCCGCGUGAGUGAUGAAGGUCUUCGGAUCGUAAAACUCUGUUAUUAGGGAAGAACAAAUGUGUAAGUAACUAUGCACGUCUUGACGGUACCUAAUCAGAAAGCCACGGCUAACUACGUG
RNAcentral lists this ribosomal RNA (497 nucleotides) under uncultured bacterium. RNAcentral describes it as "partial 16S ribosomal RNA". It matches the Rfam family "Bacterial small subunit ribosomal RNA", at positions 28 to 507 of the family's 1533-position model. The record is from RNAcentral.